UAGCGUUUUGUCAGAAGCGUCCGCGUGGCGAGGAUGAGCCCCUGCUGAUUUCCGUGCGGGCUCUUGUCAAAAUGGUGAAGCUGUUUAUUGGAAACCUGCCUCGGCAGGCCACAGAACAGGAGAUCCGCUCACUCUUUGAGCAGUAUGGGAAGGUGCUGGAAUGUGACAUCAUUAAGAACUAUGGCUUUGUGCACAUAGAAGACAAAACUGCAGCUGAGGAUGCCAUACGCAACCUGCACCACUACAAGCUUCAUGGGGUGAACAUCAAUGUGGAAGCCAGCAAGAAUAAGAGCAAAACCUCAACAAAGUUGCAUGUGGGCAACAUCAGUCCCACCUGCACCAACAAGGAGCUUCGGGCCAAGUUUGAGGAGUAUGGUCCAGUCAUUGAAUGUGACAUCGUCAAAGAUUAUGCCUUCAUACACAUGGAGCGGGCAGAGGAUGCAGUGGAGGCCAUCAGGGGCCUUGAUAACACAGAGUUUCAAGGUGGGAUGUGUGUGGGCUGAAAUUCCGAGCUGCGGUCGUGCAUGAGAAUACACCCUUCGUGGUACCCCAUCUCCGGGACGUUCUCGGCUCUGUGCAUUCAGUCUCCCAGGAACCAUGGACCUUAAUUUACCUUGCUGAGUUCAGACCUUCUCUUCCUUUCCUUUACUGCCCAUUUUCCUAUUCUUCCUAUCCUUCAAUACUUCUGUAGCCUCCCAUUCAUGUUCUAUUCUCCCAGCAGGCCUCAUUGUGUGCAGAAAUUGUGGUGGGGGCUGAGCUACCUCCUCCCUGCUUCCUGCCUCCAGUGGGUUUUGAAUUUGGGGAUGACCUUGGUGAGAGUCUCACUGCUUCUGGAUCUCUUUUUGGCCCAAAGGCUAGACCUAUAGAGUUGAAUCACUUUCUUUCCAGUGAAAUAAAUGGUUUUUCAACUUAAAAAAAAAAA
Non-coding RNA from Microcebus murinus (gray mouse lemur), 922 nucleotides. NCBI's taxonomy places the organism in Eukaryota, Metazoa, Chordata, Mammalia, Primates, Cheirogaleidae. The record is from RefSeq and is a predicted model, not a curated record.